AAAAAAUAAAAUAAGAAAUUAUUUACUGAAAAAGAAAAUAUGGAAUCGCUUGAAUUACAUGGUGGUUUUAUGAUUUCCAACGAGUUGUAAUAGGUGCCCCGAAUCGCAUGCGGUCAAUUUCAAGGUCAAGGUCAAGAAAAUAAGCAUCGACUGUGAAACGCAAACGACUACUCCGUAUACAACAAUGCUUAGCUACGAUUUUAUUUGGGCAGAACUUAAGCACGAACUGUGAAACCGGGCAUUAGUGAGUUAAAUGUAGCAUUUUAAGUCCAGAAGAAAUGUAUUAUUUGGAUUCUGUGUAAUCUAGACCAAUAAAAGUAACUAUUCAGCCAUACAAACACCGAAGGGAUGAAUAAAUUGUAUAAAAUCCUCAACAUGCUAGUUCAAUGUGAUGAAAAUACA
Molecule: long non-coding RNA, 402 nt
Organism: Zeugodacus cucurbitae (melon fly)
Lineage: Eukaryota; Metazoa; Arthropoda; Insecta; Diptera; Tephritidae
Exons: 3
Source: RefSeq, a predicted model, not a curated record